UCCGAUAUGGUGUAACUGGCUAACAUUGCCGCCUUUCACGCGGCAGCUCGGGGUUCGAUUCCCCGUAUCGGAA
Armillaria mellea is the source of this 73-nucleotide non-coding RNA. NCBI's taxonomy places the organism in Eukaryota, Fungi, Basidiomycota, Agaricomycetes, Agaricales, Physalacriaceae. The record is from the annotation of a GenBank genome assembly.